RNAcentral lists this ribosomal RNA (395 nucleotides) under uncultured bacterium. RNAcentral's name for it is "bacterial SSU rRNA". It matches the Rfam family "Bacterial small subunit ribosomal RNA", at positions 28 to 401 of the family's 1533-position model. The record is from RNAcentral.
GACGAACGCUGGCGGCGUGCUUAACACAUGCAAGUCGAACGAGAAGAGAUGAGAAGCUUGCUUCUUAUCAAUUCGAGUGGCAAACGGGUGAGUAACGCGUAAGCAACCUGCCCUUCAGAUGGGGACAACAGCUGGAAACGGCUGCUAAUACCGAAUACGUCUUUUUGUCGCAUGGCAGAGGGAAGAAAGGGGAGGCUCUUCGGAGCUUUCGCUGAAGGAGGGGCUUGCGUCUGAUUAGCUAGUUGGAGGGGUAACGGCCCGACCAAGGCGACGAUCAGUAGCCGGUCUGAGAGGAUGAACGGCACAUUGGGACUGAGACACGGCCCAGACUCCUACGGGAGGCAGCAGUGGGGAAUCUUCCGCAAUGGACGAAAGUCUGACGGAGCAACGCCGCG